GAUGAACGCUGGCGGCGUGCUUAACACAUGCAAGUCGAACGGUGAAGGCGGAGCUUGCUCUGCUGGAUCAGUGGCGAACGGGUGAGUAACACGUGAGCAAUCUGCCCCUGACUCUGGGAUAAGCGCUGGAAACGGCGUCUAAUACUGGAUACGAGCUGCGAAGGCAUCUUAAGCAGCUGGAAAGAACUUCGGUCAGGGAUGAGCUCGCGGCCUAUCAGCUUGUUGGUGAGGUAACGGCUCACCAAGGCGUCGACGGGUAGCCGGCCUGAGAGGGUGACCGGCCACACUGGGACUGAGACACGGCCCAGACUCCUACGGGAGGCAGCAGUGGGGAAUAUUGCACAAUGGGCGAAAGCCUGAUGCAGCAACGCCGCGUGAGGGACGACGGCCUUCGGGUUGUAAACCUCUUUUAGCAGGGAAGAAGCGAAAGUGACGGUACCUGCAGAAAAAGCGCCGGCUAACUACGUG
RNAcentral lists this ribosomal RNA (468 nucleotides) under uncultured bacterium. RNAcentral's name for it is "partial 16S ribosomal RNA". It matches the Rfam family "Bacterial small subunit ribosomal RNA", at positions 28 to 507 of the family's 1533-position model. The record is from RNAcentral.